UCUAACUUUAGGAUGCAGGGAUUUCUUCUCCACAGACUCUGGCUGAAUGGAUUGUUUGGCAAUUUCACAGUGAAUAUCCAUUCAGAAAAUGAAUUUCCAGCAGUGAAAAUCAGUGUGUUGCAGCCAAUCAACCUAUUACAGCAGAAACCCAGAUGAAGAAAAACAUUACAAGAGCCCAUGAAAUAUCAGAAGUGACUAUAGGAUUAUGGAUAACCAAUAUAAUAACAUCAUAAAAAAGAAGGAAAUGGCAAUUGAAAUUCUUUUGAAGAUUCUGAAAUCUAAUGCCACUUAUCCCCUACUGCCUCUCUGCAGAUUCCUAAUGCUGUUCUUGUGGGAGGACGAUCUACUCAUGUGUAGCUGUCAGCGUUCUUCGCCUGUUACUCUGGGAGCAGAGAGCCAGGAGGUCACCACUGAUCUGCCAUUUUCCACAAGUUCUCAGCAUAGUCUCGAAAGAUGUUCAAAUAUGGACUGCAUUGUACAUUUGUAA
Molecule: long non-coding RNA, 487 nt
Filed under: Microcebus murinus (gray mouse lemur)
Lineage: Eukaryota; Metazoa; Chordata; Mammalia; Primates; Cheirogaleidae
Description: lncRNA (ENSMICG00000048565.1)
Source: RNAcentral